RNAcentral lists this ribosomal RNA (387 nucleotides) under uncultured bacterium. RNAcentral describes it as "bacterial SSU rRNA". It matches the Rfam family "Bacterial small subunit ribosomal RNA", at positions 28 to 417 of the family's 1533-position model. The record is from RNAcentral.
GACGAACGCUGGCGGCGUGCUUAACACAUGCAAGUCGAGCGGUAAGGCCCUUUCGGGGGUACACGAGCGGCGAACGGGUGAGUAACACGUGGGUGACCUGCCCUUAGCUCUGGGAUAAGCCUGGGAAACUGGGUCUAAUACCGGAUAUGACUCCAUGACGCAUGUUGUGGGGUGGAAAGCCUUGUGCGGCUAGGGAUGGGCCCGCGGCCUAUCAGCUUGUUGGUGGGGUGAUGGCCUACCAAGGCGACGACGGGUGGCCGGCCUGAGAGGGCGACCGGCCACACUGGGACUGAGACACGGCCCAGACUCCUACGGGAGGCAGCAGUGGGGAAUCUUGCGCAAUGGGCGAAAGCCUGACGCAGCGACGCCGCGUGGGGAUGACGGCCU